AGUCACCCUCUCACCUUUUUGGGGGGAUUGUGGUGGGGUGAGGUGUGGGAUAGAAGGGGAAGGGUGGUGGCCCUCCAGCCCCCAUGACUCAGGAUCCCUCUAAGGACAACCCAGAUGUCUUUCUGGGAUUUUCAAGGACUCCUUUCUGGAUAGGACAUCCGGUCUCUGUCCUCAAUUCCUCAAGAGGAACAGAAAUCAAUUGAUUGAGAGGGAGGCACAGGGCUGGGGUGGGGACUCCUGGGCUGCUUACCUGCCAGUUUCUGAUAGAAGGGGAGGGCUGGUCUCCAAAGCACGCAGGCCACAGAUUUUGGCCUUGACUUUAGCACCAAUUCGCACUUUUCAAGGGAAUCCUUUGUUUUCCUGUCUUUGUUUAUGUGCUUCCCUCUCAGCCAUGAAAUCCUAGAAAGGAGUCAUUAUCAUAUUUUUAUCUCUGUGUACCCAUGUUUAGCCCCAGUGCCUGGCACCACCAGGGCAGCCAUUAAAUAUUUGCUAACUGGUCUGGGGAUCGAGUGCCAUCUGGUGGAGGAAGUAGGCAUGGCAGCAUUUCAGAUCCCCUGGGACAGCAGGCCCGGCCCUGGUUUGGGGAUGUCCUUGUAAGUAUGAGGUCAUGGAGCGGGGGUAGUGUCCCCAGACAAGGUGUGCUAGGGAGGGGAAGGGAAGGGAAGGGAGGCCCUUGAAAGAUGAGGAGGAAGAAGGAAGAGGCCACCACAGGAGCACAACUUUGGUAAGUGAGACCCUCUCUGCAGCCCUCUGUGCACUCCUCUGUGGACACGUAGGGUGGUCGGGAUGUAAUAAAGGCUGUGGAAAUAACAACAGCCCCAAGCCUUUAUGGAGUAUGGGUGCCAUGAAGUGGUGCAGUUUUUGGUUCCAUUUGCAGGUUCAGAAGCUGAGGCUCAGACAGUUAGUAACUCACCCAAGGUCACUCAGUCUAUCAGAGUCAGGGCUGGGAUUCAAAGCCAGGCCAUGGGACCUGGACCUGGCAAUUCCUGCGCUAGGUAUUCACUCAUUAGUUCAUUCGGAACCAACUUGUUGGGGCUGGUCCAGUAGGAGGGCACAGCCUCUGCCUUUGUUUUCAUGUGAGUCCUUCCCUUGGGGCCCUUUCUUUCUCUGGGAGUUCUGGCAAUCUAGGGACCAGAGAGAGGCUCCUCCAGUUAGAGAACUGCCAGCUGACAGCACUUCCUGCCCUCCUAAGCACUGUCCACUGUCUGAAACCUCCUUUGCCCCCCGUAACCUCCUGCCUUCCUCGUGUUUCCUCACUUCUAUCAGGACUUCACAUAUACCAGGAACUGCACUAGUAAAUGAGAACCAGAGCUCCAAACUCCAAACACGUGUGACCUCGCGCACGACGUGGGCACCCUGACAGACACCAGGAACACACAUCCUAGAUCGCCCAUCAUGAGGACACCCCCAAGAUCACGUAAAACCCCCAGCCCCUGACCAUAAUGUGCCCCUCUCUCAAGGCCCUGAACUCUGUUCUCUGUGAGUGUGGACUUCCUUAAUUCUGCAGAAUACACCUCUCCAUGCUCCCGCAGUUCUUUUCUGUGCAUAAGUCAGCAAACCCACAACCUAGCCUGUGGUGGGGAUGACUGGGGGUCCCCAUCUCCUCUUCAGUGGACCUCCUGGGACCCCAAGUGGUGACACACCUACUUGCUGGCCUCAGUGCCUCGGUCCCUUAGAAAUGGAGCCCUCUUCCAUCUGGGAAUUUAGAUCCGCCUUGGUAGCGAUCCUGACACUUUUCAGGAAGAAGGGAACCAGGUCUGAUGUGGGCGCCACUGAAGACGCAGGUCCUGAAGGAGGCCAGCAGCUGCAGGGGCAGAGGAAAUGGGAAGAAAGGCAAGCGGGGGUCUGAUGGGAGAAGGAAGGUGAUGAAGCUUUGCCUCACAUGCACAUAUUUGCAAUUUGCUUUGUAAAACUUUAGCUACCACAGCCUAUAAAAUUUACUCAGUAUAUAACUCAAUAAUUUUUAGUAAACUUAUAGAGCUGUAUCACCAUUAUUAGAACCUACUUUUAGGACUUUUCCUUAAACUUAGUUUUCUUUCUUUCUUUCUUUCUUUC
Heterocephalus glaber (naked mole-rat) is the source of this 2055-nucleotide long non-coding RNA. The record is from Ensembl. NCBI's taxonomy places the organism in Eukaryota, Metazoa, Chordata, Mammalia, Rodentia, Bathyergidae.